GACAGAGGCCUCGAGCGUUAGGCGGAAUCACUGGGCUUAAAGCGUGUGUAGGCGGGCCCGUAAGUGUCUUGUGAAAUCCCACGGCUCAACCGUGGAACUGCUGGGCAUACUGCGGGUCUUGGGCCAACUAGGGGCAGCCGGAACAAGCGGUGGAGCGGUGAAAUGCGUAGAUAUCGCUUGGAACGCCGAAGGUGAAAACAGGUAGCUGGGGUUGUGCUGACGCUGAGACACGAAAGCCAGGGGAGCGAACGGG
This 253-nucleotide ribosomal RNA is filed under the name uncultured bacterium. Its description in RNAcentral is "partial 16S ribosomal RNA". It matches the Rfam family "Bacterial small subunit ribosomal RNA", at positions 524 to 776 of the family's 1533-position model. The record is from RNAcentral.